This 327-nucleotide ribosomal RNA is filed under the name uncultured bacterium. RNAcentral describes it as "bacterial SSU rRNA". It matches the Rfam family "Bacterial small subunit ribosomal RNA", at positions 9 to 326 of the family's 1533-position model. The record is from RNAcentral.
GAGUUUGAUCUUGGCUCAGGAUGAACGCUAGCUACAGGCUUAACACAUGCAAGUCGAGGGGCAUCGGGGGCGAAGCUUGCUUCGCCCGCCGGCGACCGGCGCACGGGUGAGUAACACGUAUGGAACCUGCCCGCCACAGGGGGAUAACCGGGAGAAAUUCCGACUAAAACCCCGUAUGCUCACAGGGGCGCAUGCCCCGGGGAGGAAACACCGGAGGGUGGCGGAUGGCCAUGCGGCGCAUUAGCUAGUUGGCGGGGCAACGGCCCACCAAGGCGACGAUGCGUAGGGGUUCUGGAGAGGAAGGUCCCCCACAUUGGUACUGAGACC